UGAGGAACAUGACCUUCGGCGGGGGGAUAGCCGGCCCAACGGCCGGGUAAUACCGCGUACGACCACUCGGGGACAUCCCCAGGUGGUGAAAGCAGCAAUGCGCCGAUGGAGUGCCUCGCGGCCUAUCAGCUAGUUGGUGAGGUAACGGCUCACCAAGGCGACGACGGGUAGCUGGUCUGAGAGGAUGGCUAGCCACAUUGGGACUGAGACACGGCCCAGACUCCGUACGGGAGCAG
Molecule: ribosomal RNA, 236 nt
Filed under: uncultured bacterium
Lineage: Bacteria
Description: partial 16S ribosomal RNA
Rfam family: Bacterial small subunit ribosomal RNA
Source: RNAcentral